UCAUUUCCGUGGACUACAUUAGUAGGUGAUCAAAAGUCUCAUGGUAUAGGUUGAUGACCCCCAUUGCACUUAGAAUAGGUGUUUACCAGAGGUCGACCCAAGUGGUCGAGCCUAUGUCAUAAUUUCUGAUAGUGUCGGUCCGUGCUUGCGGGUGACCC
Molecule: small nuclear RNA, 158 nt
Organism: Cynara cardunculus var. scolymus (artichoke)
Lineage: Eukaryota; Viridiplantae; Streptophyta; Magnoliopsida; Asterales; Asteraceae
Product: U1 spliceosomal RNA
Exons: 1
Source: RefSeq, a predicted model, not a curated record